GACGAACGCUGGCGGCGUGCUUAACACAUGCAAGUCGAACGGAAAGGCCCUGCUUUUGUGGGGUGCUCGAGUGGCGAACGGGUGAGUAACACGUGAGUAACCUGCCCUUGACUUUGGGUAACUUCAGGAAACUGGGGCCAAUACCGGAUAGGAGCCCCUGCUGCAUGGGUGGGGGUGGAAAGGUUUCGGCGGUUGGGGAUGGACUCGCGGCUUAUCAGCUGGUUGGUGGGGUAGUGGCUUACCAAGGCUUUGACGGGUAGCCGGCCUGAGAGGGUGACCGGCCACAUUGGGACUGAGAUACGGCCCAGACUCCUACGGGAGGCAGCAGUGGGGAAUAUUGCACAAUGGGCGGAAGCCUGAUGCAGCAACGCCGCGUGCGGGAUGACGGCCUUCGGGUUGUAAACCGCUUUCGCCUGUGACGAAGCGUGAGUGACGGUAAUGGGUAAAGAAGCACCGGCUAACUACGUG
Molecule: ribosomal RNA, 468 nt
Filed under: uncultured bacterium
Lineage: Bacteria
Description: partial 16S ribosomal RNA
Rfam family: Bacterial small subunit ribosomal RNA
Source: RNAcentral